GGGGAUGUAGUCUAGUGGUUAUGAUUUCUGCUUUGCAAGCUCAUUGGAGCUCUGAAUUGCAGAGGGUCCCGUGUUCGAAUCAUGGCGUCUCCA
This 93-nucleotide transfer RNA is filed under the name Coniochaeta sp. 2T2.1. It matches the Rfam family "tRNA". From Rfam's summary of the family: Transfer RNA (tRNA) molecules are approximately 80 nucleotides in length. Their secondary structure includes four short double-helical elements and three loops (D, anti-codon, and T loops). Further hydrogen bonds mediate the characteristic L-shaped molecular structure. tRNAs have two regions of fundamental functional importance: the anti-codon, which is responsible for specific mRNA codon recognition, and the 3' end, to which the tRNAs corresponding amino acid is attached (by aminoacyl-tRNA synthetases). tRNAs cope with the degeneracy of the genetic code in two manners: having more than one tRNA (with a specific anti-codon) for a particular amino acid; and 'wobble' base-pairing, i.e. permitting non-standard base-pairing at the 3rd anti-codon position. The record is from Rfam by way of RNAcentral. Lineage: Eukaryota; Fungi; Ascomycota; Sordariomycetes; Coniochaetales; Coniochaetaceae.